Molecule: small nuclear RNA, 125 nt
Filed under: Sphaeramia orbicularis (orbiculate cardinalfish)
Lineage: Eukaryota; Metazoa; Chordata; Actinopteri; Kurtiformes; Apogonidae
Description: U1 spliceosomal RNA (ENSSORG00005012765.1)
Rfam family: U1 spliceosomal RNA
About the family: U1 is a small nuclear RNA (snRNA) component of the spliceosome (involved in pre-mRNA splicing). Its 5' end forms complementary base pairs with the 5' splice junction, thus defining the 5' donor site of an intron. There are significant differences in sequence and secondary structure between metazoan and yeast U1 snRNAs, the latter being much longer (568 nucleotides as compared to 164 nucleotides in human).
Source: Rfam by way of RNAcentral
GUACUUACCUGGCAGGGGACACACCAUGAUCAGCAAGGUGGUUCACCCAGGAUGAGGCUCAACCAUUGCACUGGGGUUGUCUGACCUCUGCAAAUUCCCCAAAUGUGGGAAUCUCGACUGCAUCU